GAUGAACGCUGGCGGCGUGCCUAAUACAUGCAAGUCGAGCGAACAGACGAGGAGCUUGCUCCUCUGACGUUAGCGGCGGACGGGUGAGUAACACGUGGAUAACCUACCUAUAAGACUGGGAUAACUUCGGGAAACCGGAGCUAAUACCGGAUAACAUGUUGAACCGCAUGGUUCAACAGUGAAAGACGGUCUUGCUGUCACUUAUAGAUGGAUCCGCGCCGCAUUAGCUAGUUGGUAAGGUAACGGCUUACCAAGGCAACGAUGCGUAGCCGACCUGAGAGGGUGAUCGGCCACACUGGAACUGAGACACGGUCCAGACUCCUAUGGGAGGCAGCAGUAGGGAAUCUUCCGCAAUGGGCGAAAGCCUGACGGAGCAACGCCGCGUGAGUGAUGAAGGUCUUCGGAUCGUAAAACUCUGUUAUUAGGGAAGAACAAAUGUGUAAGUAACUAUGCACGUCUUGACGGUACCUAAUCAGAAAGCCACGGCUAACUACGUG
Molecule: ribosomal RNA, 497 nt
Filed under: uncultured bacterium
Lineage: Bacteria
Description: partial 16S ribosomal RNA
Rfam family: Bacterial small subunit ribosomal RNA
Source: RNAcentral